UGGGGAAUAUUGGACAAUGGGCGCAAGCCUGAUCCAGCCAUGCCGCGUGAGUGAUGAAGGCCUUAGGGUUGUAAAGCUCUUUUAGCGGGGAAGACAAUGACGGUACCCGCAGAAAAAGCCCCGGCUAACUUCGUGCCAGCAGCCGCGGUAAUACGAAGGGGGCUAGCGUUGCUCGGAAUUACUGGGCGUAAAGCGCACGUAGGCGGACUCUUAAGUCGGUGGUGAAAUCCUGGAGCUCAACUCCAGAACUGCCUUCGAUACUGGGAGUCUUGAGUUCGGGAGAGGUGAGUGGAACUGCGAGUGUAGAGGUGAAAUUCGUAGAUAUUCGCAAGAACACCAGUGGCGAAGGCGGCUCACUGGCCCGAUACUGACGCUGAGGUGCGAAAGCGUGGGGAGCAAACA
This 402-nucleotide ribosomal RNA is filed under the name uncultured bacterium. Its description in RNAcentral is "bacterial SSU rRNA". It matches the Rfam family "Bacterial small subunit ribosomal RNA", at positions 355 to 774 of the family's 1533-position model. The record is from RNAcentral.